CAUAAAAUGUGAUCCACCAUGCCUGUGUGUAAUUGCCUAAGAACUUGAUAAUGGAUACGAGAUUCUAAUUUCGAAGCAUAGUUGAUUUAUAUUUUUCAAAAUAGUUUGCAAUUCAAGAGAGGUCCAUUUUUAAUCUUUAAUUUACUUAUUUGUACGUCUAAGAAUUUAAUAAUCAACACACGAGAUUUCAAUUUUGAAGCGUAGUUAACUUUUUUUUUUUUUUAAUAAGAUGGGUCUAUUUACUUAUGAGUAAAUCUCGAUGAUGAAUCAUCAAAAUUUGUGAAUCUUAUGAACUUAGCAUAGGUCACGUCCCGUCCCUGACAACUUAAGAUCGAAAGAUUUAAACCUUCUCUUCUUCGUGAAAACGGACCUACAAUAAAUUACAUCCUUCAAGACAUAAGUUGAAAGAUAUAAAUCUUUUUCUUCUCCACAAAAAUUGAUACAGCCAAAACAACUGAUAAAAAAGUAAUAUUACCACUCACAAGAACAUAUUUAUUCAGAUAGUCUUUCAAAAACUAUAAAUUUUAUACCUACAUGAUAAGUGUACACUUAGCAUUUUUCUUUAGAAUAUUAUUUCACAUAUUAUUAAUAUUAAUUACUUAAAUAUAUAAAUGUGAGGAAUUUUAAUUAAUAU
Molecule: long non-coding RNA, 634 nt
Filed under: Ananas comosus (pineapple)
Lineage: Eukaryota; Viridiplantae; Streptophyta; Magnoliopsida; Poales; Bromeliaceae
Description: long non-coding RNA (ACOM_LNC014166)
Source: RNAcentral